GUUAGUUAUCUGGCAAUGGUAUUUGGGGAGACGGGAUGACAGUAGAUAGGUUGAAGCCUCAUGGAAUUAAGGCUCCUUCUCACCGGUUCCCGCUUAGAGCAAUUGUAGGAGGAUUUAGUUUCCUCCAGCAGCAUUAAGGUGGCUUUGCCGGUGUCAGCAGACCAUGGUGGAAAGUACUGGGAGGGAGUCGGGAAGGGAGCUGGGACGAGGAACGUGACUCUGCUUUCACUGAACUGGAAGAAGUGGCUAUAAAACCUCCUGCCCUCAAAUUCCCAGGACAAGGAAAGCCUUUUUCGGUAAUGCUUUCCACAUCUGCUGACUGCGUGGGAGCAGCACCGCUAGAAAACGGCAGUAAAGGAAAGCGGGUGCCGGUCGCCUCACCUUUACGUCCCCUUUGGGGGUGGAACAAAAAGUCUCUGGCUGUGAGAAAGACUGUUCAGCAGCGAUGUGGGCUGUAACCGUCUUUGAGACUUUUAGCUUUGAUCACGCAGGGGCCAUCCAAUCUAUUCAGUUCCCUCUAAAGUAAUCACGUCAGGGAAAUGAAGAGACAGCGGAGUAUCAUCUAUCCGAGUGGCGCAGUGGGCGCUGAUCUUAACGAGCGGGGGCAGGGGGGCAGUUGCUGUGCAAGUGUUACAAGCAGUGGCUCUUCUUGUGCGCGUCUGAAUUGACUGAGGGGCAGAGCACGGUUGCGCCAAAAACGCGGACGCAGGAGGUUUCCGAGAGGUUGAUCUCUAGCGGCUACUUAGUCUGACUUCCCUUUCGCGGCAAGCCCGACUGUCUUCAUAGCUCCCAGAACAGGGGCUGGGGAAGCGGUGCUUGUGGCUUGCGUAUUCUUGUUUACCUUGCUUGAGUGUGUAUAUUGGAUCCGCUUUUGUGCUUAUAAACAACUUUGGAUUCUUAUGAUUUUCUGCAGAGCUUUGAUCUUUUUCUUUUUUUCUUUUUCUUCUCGGUUUGUUUUUUUUUUUUUUGCUUUGCUCCCUCCCUGAUGGAUUUUACUAUGCCUCCGUCAACGAGCCCUGGCUGGCAAAGUUGCUGUGUCCCAGCGGAGACUCUUAGGCGAGAUGGAGGAGUUCAGAUCCGCAGCCUGCCAGAAGAACGUCGCCCAGGAGGGGUUGCUAGCCUCGAGCUAUAGGCGCUGGCGUUCAGGACCUCGGGGAACGACUGUGUGCUGCCGUGAAGAACUACAGGCUACCACUGCUCUCGGACCUUUGUAAGUUAUCACGCGUCGAGAGCUUCCAGGAGAAUUCAAAUGCCAGCAGAAAGGUUCUCCGCCCGGUCCCGACGAGGAGGCUUCGGCCACAGGAAGGUCGGCAGCGUCCUUACCGGACUCGCGGCUGGGCCACGAGGUCUGUGCGAAGCCUCGCCUGUCUGUUUGGAGCUCUGUUUUGGUCUGUUUACCUGGAAUGACCAGUGAGGCCUAAAAUAAGAAUUUUCGUGGCUAGAUGGGUCAGCUGUGACCGCACCCGUCUUUGCCUUGCUUCGCUGCCUAGCAGCAACUUGGGACGCCAGAGUAAAAACUGCUGCAGCGCUUAAGGGAGGCUCUGCAUUUGCCCAGGUUAGGGAGCCAUCAUUAAAGCUUUGGGGGAAGAAAGCUCUAAAAGGAGAAUCUCCCAGUGACCUUGGUGGCUUGAUUCACUUGCAGGAUGCUGUUCUGAGGGCCAGCAACUCGAAGGAAUGCAGCUCGGCCCUUUUUGUUGACUUUGGUGAUGCUGUUUUGAGGAAGCAUGUAAGUACAGAAGGGGUCUGGGAGGGUUUUCAAACAAGACGGGAAAGAGCAAGGAAGAUUUGAGAGCGUGGAAAAACUAGGUGCCGCGGGUACUGAAGUUGUUACGGGCUGAGGGCGUUUGGCGUUGAGCAUCUGAGAGGGGCUAAUGCACGAGGAAUGGUAAAAUGCUGUGACUGAACGCGAGGUUCCUCCCCGGCCUGGGCCCGUGUGUGCACCCUCGCUCCCACAGACACCCCGGAGCCGUAGGGAAACGGGUGAGCAGGCCCACGAGCGGACUUUGGGCACAGCGGUGCGCAGAGAGCGCUGCGGGCUCAGCCGGUGGGGUGGAGUCGGAGCAUGGCGAGCCAGGCUGUCAGGAUCCAUCCGGUUCCGCUCCCUGCUCCUCUGUCCAGCGCUCCAUCCUUCUCUUUCUUUCCCCGUGGCUCUGUCCAGUGCCCCAUCCCUUUGUUUAGCUACUCGUUCCUCUGCCCAGCUCCCCCAUCCCUCUUGUACUCUUUCCAUCUCUGUGACAAUAUCUGCGUCCAUCUAACUGGCUCUCUAUCGCUCUAUCCAGCUCUUCAUCGUCCUCUUCCUCUUCCUAUCCCAGUACCUGCCCGCUGUCCUUCCGUGCGGCUCCCCAUCCGUCUGCCGCUCUCGUCUGCCUUUCUGCCUGUACUUCUCUUUGCCUUCCCAGCCCUCUGUCCACCCCUCCAGCCAUCUCUCUCUAUUUCCAUCCCUCUGCUCAGCUCCUCAUCCAUCUAUUUGCCUCCCUAUCCCUCUUUUCCCCUGUUUUGUCCCAUCUCUCUGUCUGAAUUGCCCUCCCUCUUUUUCUCUCUCCACCUUUCUGGCCAGCUCGUCGUCGUUCUCGUCCUCUUCCCAUCGCUCCUACUGGCUCCCUGUCCCUCUCUUCCCGUCCCCGUUCCUCUCUCCGGUUCUCCCCCCUUCUCUGUUGUUCCCUCGCCGUUCCUCUGGCCGCCUCGCCUUCCCCAUUUUUCUCUCUUCUGCUCCCCGGUCCUCUGUGCAGCCCUCCCUCCAUCUGUGUGGCCCUCUGUCCCUCUCUUUCUCUUCCUUUGUCCAGUGCCCAGACCCUGGGGCUGGCUCUCUGUCCCUCUCUUUCUUUCUCCCUCCAUCCAUCUGCCAAGCUCUCUGCCCCUCUUUUCUUUUGUUCUCCCCCCUGUCCCCGCGUCCAGGUGGAGGUCUGUCGUUCCUUUGCGUUUUGUCUGGUGCGGCGGGUGGCGAGAGGUGGUCGGCGCUCAGCAGAGAUGGUGAUCGGCAGCGCCCGGAGGGUGCCGUCGGUCGGUCUGGUUCGGGUCACGUCGGACACCUCCGCGGGGACUCUGGCCGCGGAGGCGCGGGGCUGUGGCUGUGCAGCGGGGGAGCGCUAGCAGGCUAGAGAUGCCGUGGGGUACGCGGCAGGCAGCGAAGAGGCUCCUGGGGAAGGUGUCACGGAGGCAGAGAGCAGCAGAGGCUCCGAGACCUUGGGCAUUAGGACAGGCGCUCGCGGUAGGGCGGUCUGGAGCUGCUGCUGCUGUCUGUCCUACUUGUCAGCGCGGUCUGCAGUUACUGCCUCUUGUCUGCCUGCGCGCAGCCAGGGCUGUCACGUGGUGCAGCUUGAGUUGCGAUUGCGAUGCUGGCAUUGAGCCCACUUUUCUGUCAGGUCUGCCUUUAUGCAAAGUGGUGUCUUCCCUAUGUCUACAGCUCAACCCAUGUUGUUGAUUUAGUGCUUCCUGAGGGGAUAUGCUGUGCUGUCAACACGCACACCCACCCCACCCCUGCCAUCGCUUCCUGAUGAAUGCAAUCAUUUACAUAGCUUCUGGCUUGUUUCUUUCCUUGGAACUCCUUUCUCUUUGCUGUUCUUGUCCCUCCAAACAAUUUCUGUUUCUAGCAUUAUUAGUGUUGGGCCCUAAACCUUCUAGACCUUCCUUCUUUGAAGUCCAGAGGUUCCAGUAUUGUUUGUACUUUGAGAGUAAAGGUCCUUCACAACUCAUGUCUUAAGUAUGCAACUGCCUUACCUGGGAUUUUCGUUUUCGCAAGUUACUGUUUCUUUCAGGAGCCAGUUACAACAGUAACUUUGCUAUAGCAGAGAAAUGGGGUUACAUGUGUAUGAGCAACAGCACCGUAGUACACAGCAAAGCCAUAAUCUACAGUACUGGUAGCACAAGUCAGUUUCCCAUCAGCUCCAUCUCUCCAGGGUUUGGAGGUUUUGGAGGCCUUACUUUUUAUCCUGCCUUGGCUGGACGGUGCUUUCUGAGAGUGUCCAUCAGAGGCAGAGUUUCCCUGCGGAGGACCAUCUAGCAAAGGCUGGAGGCGGCCGGGUGCCUGAGCGAGCCUGCCUGUCCGUGAGAGCUGCUGUGACAUCUUUGUGAUGAAAUGGAGCCAGAGAGGGUGACUGAAGCAGCAUGGAGGGUCAGUCAUAACUGUGGGAACAAUUACGGGCCUUGGACUAGGGAGUAGUUCUAGGAGGGCUGUGCAGUUGCCCGGCCUCUAACUAACUGCUCUGGCCUCUUUGCAGGUGCCGAAGCCCAGUUGGGCAGUCGAAGGAGCCUUGUCACAGCUGGGAGCUCUGCGGAGAUGCGCGGCUGGCCAUGGAGAGUGAGCUCUGACUUGCAGCGUGGACACAGCUAAGUCCUGGGCUGCAUCAUAUGUGAGCAGUGCUGGGAGGUGCGAGGUGAUUGUUCCCUAGGUGGUCACUGGUGUCACUGGCUGUGGAUGUUUGCCCAUGGAGCUGAGAGGACCAAAAAUAUUAAUUGUCUGACCCGGAGAUGAAUUAGUGCUUGCAGUGCUUCAGGAAAAAGCAGAGGAGUAGGCUGUCAGCUACUCGGACACCUGCCACAUCAAGGGCAGCAGCAGGAGAUGACCCUUCCCUGAUGGAUGGAUGGACGCUGGUGUAGUGAUGACUCUUCAGGCAUCACAGGUAAGGGGAAGCAUGCUGACACUGAGCUCCAUGGCAGACUUGCUUCCAGCUAUUGUUUCUGCGCAGUAAAACAAUAAACAGUUGCUUUAUUCUUUGCA
RNA transcript from Dromaius novaehollandiae (emu), 4717 nucleotides. It is a transcript of the gene named proline-rich protein 36-like, with no coding region annotated. The transcript has 4 exons. The record is from RefSeq and is a predicted model, not a curated record. NCBI's taxonomy places the organism in Eukaryota, Metazoa, Chordata, Aves, Casuariiformes, Dromaiidae.